Mytilus trossulus (common blue mussel) is the source of this 691-nucleotide long non-coding RNA. RefSeq lists it as uncharacterized. The record is from RefSeq and is a predicted model, not a curated record. The transcript has 3 exons. NCBI's taxonomy places the organism in Eukaryota, Metazoa, Mollusca, Bivalvia, Mytilida, Mytilidae.
AGAAACUCUCUUACUAUAGAUAAUUAUUAGUUUUAUUUUUUUAGAGAAUAUCGAACGGUUCGGAUCGCUUUAAUAAAGUCUUCCGAAUAGAAGUUGUCCGUGAUUACAUAGUAUUCUUAUUCAUAAAAACUUGGGAUUACAGUCAAAAUGAUUUAAACUUCAGUUUUAAGAGUUACGUGAUCAUUAUGUUUGACUAUGGUGACUGAGGAUUAUAUUUGGAUGGUGCUAGGCAUAUUAUGUUUUGUCGAUGUUUUAUCAGCAACUGGAUGUAAGUGGAGUAAUGAAGGUUGCUUUUCAAAUCAAGAAUGUUGCAGUAACGGUUGUUCAUUGAGACAUCCUGGAACCGAGCCUCGUUGUGAGAAAAGUUCUAUCCUUGGUCCAUGUUUAUACAAUUACCACUGUGAACGCAAUUUUAUUUGUGGACCUAAAAAUAAAUGCUGUUCAGAUUACUGGAAUGACUGUCGAGACGAAACAGAAUGUUGUGACCCAGCACACGUCUGUCUAUAUGCACGUGGAUUUGUAUACAAAAAAUGUCUAUUUGGUCCUGUCCAACUUAAAAGUAUGGCACCUGUAACAAACAAACUGUCCGUCAUAUGUCUAUUAAGUAUUUUAUUUUUAUACAUUCAUUUUUAAACAAUUUACAAAUCAAAUAUGUAAUUUUUGAAUAUUUUAAAUAAACAUGUAAGGAGCA